UUGCUUCUGAUUUGCUUAUUGCACCACAUGUGUUUUUCUUUGAAACAAACUUGCUUUGGCGGUGGGCCCAGCCUGCCGCCAGAGGUCUAAACUUACAACCAAUUUUUUAUCAACUUGUCACACCAGAUUAUUACUAAUAGUCAAAACUUUCAACAACGGAUCUCUUGGUUCUCGCAUCGAUGAAGAACGCAGCGAAAUGCGAUACGUAAUAUGAAUUGCAGAUAUUCGUGAAUCAUCGAAUCUUUGAACGCACAUUGCGCCCUCUGGUAUUCCGGAGGGCAUGCCUGUUUGAGCGUCGUUUCUCCCUCAAACCGCUGGGUUUGGUGUUGAGCAAUACGACUUGGGUUUGCUUGAAAGACGGUAGUGGUAAGGCGGGAUCGCUUUGACAAUGGCUUAGGUCUAACCAAAAACAUUGCUUGCGGCGGUAACGUCCACCACGUAUAUCUUCAAACUUUGACCUCAAAUCAGGUAGGACUACCCGCUGAACUUAAGCAUAUCAAAAGCCGGAGGAA
This 512-nucleotide ribosomal RNA is filed under the name Candida albicans. RNAcentral's name for it is "eukaryotic LSU rRNA". The stretch from base 145 to 298 matches the Rfam family "5.8S ribosomal RNA". The record is from RNAcentral. Lineage: Eukaryota; Fungi; Ascomycota; Pichiomycetes; Serinales; Debaryomycetaceae.